CCUUCGAUAGCUCAGUUGGUAGAGCGGUGGACUGUAGAAUUGGGCAAUUGAAUUUGAUAGACAUCCAUAGGUCGCUGGUUCAAAUCCGGCUCGAAGGA
This 98-nucleotide transfer RNA is filed under the name Drosophila grimshawi. It matches the Rfam family "tRNA". Rfam says of the family: Transfer RNA (tRNA) molecules are approximately 80 nucleotides in length. The record is from Rfam by way of RNAcentral. Lineage: Eukaryota; Metazoa; Arthropoda; Insecta; Diptera; Drosophilidae.